RNAcentral lists this long non-coding RNA (2417 nucleotides) under Cricetulus griseus (Chinese hamster). Its description in RNAcentral is "lncRNA (ENSCGRG00015040187.1)". Lineage: Eukaryota; Metazoa; Chordata; Mammalia; Rodentia; Cricetidae. The record is from RNAcentral.
CACAAUAUUAAUGACGAUUAAUAAUAAUAAUAAUAAUAAUAAUAAUAAUAAUAAUGCUGUCUUCAUUCCUAUGUGGGGCUAUGUCCUUGCCUUAUAGAAAUUCCGUUGACUUUCAGACAAUGGGCUCUUCCUGACAUGUGAUCUUUCUGGGAGCUGCUGGAGCUGGCUCUUCCCCUGCUAUUAGCCAUCCAUCAGCAUUCCUGUCAGGGACACUUCUGGCUCCUGAUCAGCAGGAAGAAAUGCAGGCUGCAGAGGAAUGCCAGGAGCACAGGAAAUCUCGGAGAUCCUAAAAUCUGGACUCAUAGCCCACUUCCAUCUCCGCUUUUCCUGGUACUCCCUCCUGCCUGCAACAGCCUGAGAUGCCGGAACUCAACUUGCCGCUUUUCCAACUAAGUAUUUCUGGAACUCACUGAUCUGCCUAUUCGCUACAAUCCGGUCUAAGAGGCGCCAGGGAGUUCCAUACAGCCUGGACUACAAUGAAACAACCAGCUACCCCAGGAUGUGGUAGCACCCCAACCUUCUCGGGUCCCCCAAAGAUGGUCAACGCCCCCCACGUCAGCAGGAAGCAGUCUUAAGAAUUCGACGCCCUUAUUCCUUAACCUGCCAUGUCUAAACACCCCACCUUUUUUUAAUAAUAAGUAGAGGUGGGAAUGAAAGGUUCAGGCAUUAUGCUGGCCUGCCCCUGUUACCUGGUGGAAUCCACUCAGGCAAUACCCUGGUCAGCCCAAGGUUCCAUGGGAAAGAAGUCUGCACGCAGGUGCAGAGGACCCCUUUAAAAGAUAGGCCCCUGCACCUUUACUCUCUCUCUCUCUCUCUCUCUCUCUCUCUCUCUCUCUCUCUCUCUCUCCCUCUCUCCCUCUCUCUCUCUCCCGUCUCUCUCUCUCUCUCUGUGUGCUCUCUGUUUCCCCCGCUCUGUCUCUCUAUGGCGACCGGCCAUGGCGGUCAGCCAUUACCCUGUUCCUCUUCUUAGUCUACCCAUUCUACCGGGCCUUAUAAUAAACUUAUAGUCAAUAUGUCUGUCUCAGCAAUUUCUCUUUUCUUCUUUUUAAACAAAACAAUAACAGUGGGGAUUGGUCAGAUUUCAAUCCCGGAGCUCAGAAUGGCUAGAUCUCAUGCUCAGUGAUUGGUUGGUUUUUUGCUCAGGUUCAGGGUCAGAUUUGGCUCUGAUUUCAGGGACAAAGUGUGUUUCUUUCACUGGCUCUGAUUCCAGGGACAAAGUGUGUUUCUUUGACACUGGUAUCAGGGUCAGGGUACAUUUCUUUGAUUCUGGUUGCAGGUCCAAAAUAUGUUUCUUUGGCUCUGCUCAGGGUGUGUUUCUUUGGCUGGCCCCUUUUCCCUACACUCAUCUCUGCAAAGCCUUUUAGCUUUUGGAGGUUUGUUGUUGUUGUUGUUUUUGUUUUCUUCGGAUAUUUGGAGCUGAGUGAGUGACAAAAGCCAAAUUUAAUGCCCUAGCGUUUCCUGGAGCCAGUGGAUCAAAGAGAUGUAAAUCCUAGUAGCUUCUUGUAAUUGUGAGAAAUGCUCCAGGAGACUCUUCUGGGCCCUGAAGGACCCGCAGUAGUCUUAGACAUAUUUGUGGGGUUUUGAGCUGCACUCAAAUUCUAGUCAUAAGGUACCCGUGAAGUGUCCAGGACCUGGGAAUCUGUGUAAGUAUUGGGGUUCCAAUCAUGGUGGUUGGAUGGGAAAACUACUUCAAAAGUAAUUUUUCCGCAUUCAUACCAGUGGCUGAGGCCAAAAAAGCCUUUAUUGCCUCUGCUACCACAAUGUUGUUUCCUCUGAAGUGUAGAGUUGCUAGCAAUCAUCCCAGGCUAGCAAUCAUCCCAGUGUUUAGGACCGAUCGGAGGAAGGGGGUAAGUCUGAGUCCUCCAAUUAUGCAAAUCUGAAGUAGAUCGGGAAAGAGUGACCCCCUGCCUCUAAGACCUUGCCACCCCCCCCACCCCCGCCGCCGCUCCAAGAGGAGGUGGAGCAUCUUGUGACACAAAAACCGAGGCUGGGACCUGAGUCCAGGGCAUGGCUGGUUGUAGGAAGUGUGGGAGGUUGGGGAAACUGGCUAUAUCCAUCCAUCAGGGGAUAUAGAAGUAGUCACAGAGGGGAAGGAAGCAAAGAUCCAGAAGGGGACGUUGGUGAAGUAGGGAUGGCUUCGGUCGCGGAGGUGGAUAGAGUGCGGUGGGACAGGAUAGAGGAAGAAUCUGAAAGAGGUGGGGAACACGGGGGACAUGGGCUGCACACAGAGGGAAAGCAGCCAAGUAAGAAGAUCCUUAGCCUCGGAAGGCAGCAGAACAAGCACAAGCGGCGGGAGGCUGGUGACAGGGCCCGCACACCAGCACCUGGAAGCCCAGUGGUCAGCUCCCGACUGCAAGGAGCCGGGAGUUGUAUCUCCCUCCCCUCCAGCGCUUCCGCAGGUCCUCCAUCAAGCCGCC